This 230-nucleotide ribosomal RNA is filed under the name uncultured bacterium. RNAcentral's name for it is "partial 16S ribosomal RNA". It matches the Rfam family "Bacterial small subunit ribosomal RNA", at positions 568 to 793 of the family's 1533-position model. The record is from RNAcentral.
CACGGGCGGCCUGUUAAGUCAGAUGUGAAAGACCCGGGGCGUUAACCUCGGAAUUGCAUUUGAAACUAGGCAGGCUAGAGUCUUGUAGAGGGGGUAGGAAGUUUCAGGUGUAGCGGUGAAAUAGCGUAGAGAUCUGAAGGAAUACCAGUGGCGAAGGCGGCCCCCUCGGACAAAGACUGACGCUCAGAUGCGAAAGCGUGGGGAGCAAACAGGAUUAGAUACCCUGGUAG